GAUGAACGCUGGCGGCGUGCCUAACACAUGCAAGUCGAACGGAGUCCAGCCUUUAAGACCUUCGGGUCAAAGAGGGGAAGACUGAGUGGCGGACGGGUGAGUAACACGUGGGCAACCUGGCUCAUAGAGGGGGAUAACAGAGAGAAAUUUCUGCUAAUACCGCAUAAGCACACACUGCCGCAUGGCAGAGGGUGAAAAGAGAAUCGCUAUGAGAUGGACCCGCGUCUGAUUGGCCAGUUGGCAGGGUAAGAGCCCACCAAAGCGACGAUCAGUAGCCGAUCUGAGAGGAUGACCGGCCACAUUGGGACUGAGACACGGCCCAAACUCCUACGGGAGGCAGCAGUGGGGGAUAUUGCACAAUGGGGGGAACCCUGAUGCAGCGACGCCGCGUGAGUGAAGAAGUAUUUCGGUAUGUAAAGCUCUAUCAGCAGGGAAGAUAAUGACAGUACCUGAAUAAGAAGCCCCGGCUAACUACGUG
RNAcentral lists this ribosomal RNA (478 nucleotides) under uncultured bacterium. RNAcentral describes it as "partial 16S ribosomal RNA". It matches the Rfam family "Bacterial small subunit ribosomal RNA", at positions 28 to 507 of the family's 1533-position model. The record is from RNAcentral.